UUUUUCUUGUCGGAGUGCCGAGUGCGCAAGCACCGGCUGAGACCGUUAAUUCGGGAUCCGCGGAACCUGAUCAGGUUAGAACCUGCGAAGGGAACAAGAGUCAAUCUACU
Molecule: non-coding RNA, 110 nt
Filed under: Pseudescherichia vulneris (CDC Enteric Group 1)
Lineage: Bacteria; Pseudomonadati; Pseudomonadota; Gammaproteobacteria; Enterobacterales; Enterobacteriaceae
Also listed under: 1 other name
Description: Escherichia vulneris TPP sequence
Rfam family: TPP riboswitch aptamer (THI element)
About the family: Vitamin B(1) in its active form thiamin pyrophosphate (TPP) is an essential coenzyme that is synthesised by coupling of pyrimidine and thiazole moieties in bacteria.
Source: RNAcentral